AUACGGAGGGUGCAAGCGUUAUCCGGAUUCACUGGGUUUAAAGGGUGCGCAGGUGGGCUGAUAAGUCCGUGGUGAAAUCUCCGAGCUUAACUCGGAAACUGCCGUGGAUACUAUUGGUCUUGAAUAUCGCGGAGGUAAGCGGAAUAUGUCAUGUAGCGGUGAAAUGCUUAGAUAUGACAUGGAACACCAAUUGCGAAGGCAGCUUACUACACGAUUAUUGACGCUGAGGCACGAAAGCGUGGGGAGCAAACAGGAUUAGAUACCCUGGUAGUCCACGCCCUAAACUAUGAUUACUCGACAUACGCGAUACACUGUGUGUGUCUGAGCGAAAGCAUUAAGUAAUCCACCUGGGAAGUACGACCGCAAGGUUGAA
This 373-nucleotide ribosomal RNA is filed under the name uncultured bacterium. RNAcentral describes it as "bacterial SSU rRNA". It matches the Rfam family "Bacterial small subunit ribosomal RNA", at positions 523 to 898 of the family's 1533-position model. The record is from RNAcentral.